This 748-nucleotide ribosomal RNA is filed under the name uncultured Peptoniphilus sp. RNAcentral describes it as "bacterial SSU rRNA". It matches the Rfam family "Bacterial small subunit ribosomal RNA", at positions 28 to 776 of the family's 1533-position model. The record is from RNAcentral. Lineage: Bacteria; Bacillati; Bacillota; Tissierellia; Tissierellales; Peptoniphilaceae.
GACGAACGCUGGCGGCGCGCUUAACACAUGCAAGUCGAGCGAUGAAAUUUCGACAGAACCCUUCGGGGUGAAGAUGAAAUGGAUUAGCGGCGGACGGGUGAGUAACACGUGAGUAACCUGCCUUAGACAUUGGGAUAGCCUCGGGAAACCGGGAUUAAUACCAAAUGAAAUCACAUAUGCACAUGCAUAAAUGAUCAAAGCUCCGGCGGUCUAAGAUGGACUCGCGUCCCAUUAGCUAGUUGGUGAGGUAACGGCCCACCAAGGCGACGAUGGGUAGCCGGCCUGAGAGGGUGAACGGCCACAUUGGAACUGAGAAACGGUCCAAACUCCUACGGGAGGCAGCAGUGGGGAAUAUUGCACAAUGGAGGGAACUCUGAUGCAGCGACGCCGCGUGAACGAAGAAGGCUUUCGAGUCGUAAAGUUCUUUUAUAUGGGAAGAUAAUGACGGUACCAUAAGAAAAAGCCCCGGCUAACUACGUGCCAGCAGCCGCGGUAAUACGUAGGGGGCUAGCGUUGUCCGAAAUCACUGGGCGUAAAGGGUUCGCAGGCGGAAAUGUAAGUCAGGUGUAAAAGGCAGUAGCUUAACUACUGUAAGCAUUUGAAACUGCAUAUCUUGAGAAGAGUAGAGGUAAGUGGAAUUUUUAGUGUAGCGGUGAAAUGCGUAGAUAUUAAAAAGAAUACCGGUGGCGAAGGCGACUUACUGGGCUCAUUCUGACGCUGAGGAACGAAAGCGUGGGUAGCAAACAGG